UUUUUCUUCCCAACACAGACAUCUGAGGACAAAGCACUGGGCAAUGGAGACCACACAGACAACCUGAGUCCAUCUAAGUUUAUAUUCUCCAUACUGUAGCCAGUACAAUGGCUAUUGGCUGCAAUGAGAUGAGUGACCAUGACUAUAUUUGGGGAAAGAGUUGACAUUUGAAAUGCAAUAACAAACUGAUGAGCAAGGGAUGGACAAAGCUUUGGGAACUUGAUGACCACUUCUGCUUUUUUGUAUAAAUGACCAUGAGCAGGCAUGUUAGUUUUUUUCAACCCAUUUCCCCAUUUGUAAGAAGAUAAUUAUCCCCCCCACUGGCCAUGUGCCAUUUCUUG
Molecule: long non-coding RNA, 341 nt
Filed under: Mus spicilegus (steppe mouse)
Lineage: Eukaryota; Metazoa; Chordata; Mammalia; Rodentia; Muridae
Description: lncRNA (ENSMSIG00000016458.1)
Source: RNAcentral